ACCUUUCUGACCUUUGAGAAAGGCUGGAAAUCCCCAGUAGAAUGAAGCCUCUGAUACCACCGGUUCCUCCCUCCCCCACUUCAGGAAUGGAGAGUUAGAGACAGGACUUGGUGAAUUGGGGGCCCCAUGAUCAUAAAAGAAUAGACUGUGUAGUUGUGAUGAAUCUAAAAAUGGGAGGCUAUGACUGGUGGACAGAUCUGUAACCCCAGACGCUCAGCAGGCUGAGGCAUGAAGGAUUCCAAGUUCAACAAAGGCCAGCCUGGAAGACUCAGUGAGAUUGUCUUAAAAAUAAAAA
Molecule: non-coding RNA, 295 nt
Organism: Rattus norvegicus (Norway rat)
Lineage: Eukaryota; Metazoa; Chordata; Mammalia; Rodentia; Muridae
Source: RefSeq, a predicted model, not a curated record